This 969-nucleotide long non-coding RNA is filed under the name Marmota monax (woodchuck). Lineage: Eukaryota; Metazoa; Chordata; Mammalia; Rodentia; Sciuridae. The record is from RNAcentral.
GUGUGAAUGGGCUGUAGAAAAAGGAGAGAUACAGGACGGAAUAAACAGGUAAACCAACAACUCAAAAUGCUGUACAACUACAAAAUUAAAAGAAAGUGGAACGAUACACAUUUAUAAUCCAGCCCCCAAUUUUUUUGGGGGGGUGCCAGGUAUUGAACUCAGGGGCACCCAAACACUGAGCCACAUCCCCAGCCUUAUUUUUUGUAUUUUGUUUACAGACAGGCUCUAACUGAGUUGCUGAGGCUGGUUUUGAACUCAUGAUCCUCCUGUCUCAGCCUCCUGAAACACUGGGAUUACAAGCAUGCACCGCCACACCCGGCUUUAGCCCCCAGUUCUAUAACCGUGUAAUAGGGCAUAGAGCUGGUGUGCACUGAGAUUAAGAUACCGGAUUGCUGACACCAAGUUCAUGAUUAAUAGACACACAUUGACAUAACUGUAGUAUGUUUGGGAUUAAAGAGAAAUAUACAGUGGGUGUUGGCUUCCACUCAGGGAAAGACUGGGAGCUGUGCAUUAAAGCAGCACCACUGUAUACUCAGCUUCUGCAAGAUCCAGGUCAUGCUCCUGCACAGAAAUCCCCAGAGGAAAGGAUGAGCCAUUAUUUAAGAAUGGAAGUCACCUGGGGGCCUGCCAGGCCUGUCUGGGGGUUUCACCCCUGGGAAUUCUCACAUAGGUCAUUCCUGUCUUUCUUCCUGGGAGCCUGUGCUCUCCUCCUCCAUCUUGUGAGUGCUCAGGCCCCAGGUGGGGGAGGCAGCACCUCUGGGGCAAUACCAGACCAGCACCGUGUCAGGCUCCCGGUUCCUGUGCAUGCGAACAGCCCUGCUCCCUCCGUCCCUCCCCACAGCCUCUCUGCUCCUCUAUAUUCUUCUCAACCCUCCUGCCCACAACACCCCUGCCUUCCUUCUCCCUCCAGCAGAAAGAAUUGGAACCAGAAUGUGCCUCCUACUAAGGUUAUGAUGAGUAACAUUUUCA